GAAAAUACAGACCGUCUCGGAACCUUCGGCAAAUGAUGGUAAACGUCUCAUUUGCCGAAGGUUCUGAUACCAACUGUAUUCAC
This 83-nucleotide microRNA precursor is filed under the name Plutella xylostella (diamondback moth). Its description in RNAcentral is "microRNA pxy-mir-8522 precursor". The record is from miRBase by way of RNAcentral. Lineage: Eukaryota; Metazoa; Arthropoda; Insecta; Lepidoptera; Plutellidae.